ACAUGGAGGUUCCCAGGCUAGGAGUCAAAUUGGAGCUAUAGCUGCAGGCCUACACCACAGCCACAGCAAUGUGGGAUCUGAGCUGUAUCUGCAACCUACACCACAGCUCAGGGCAAUGCCAGAUCCUUAACCCACUGGGCGAGGCCAGGGAUCGAACCCACGUCCUCAUGGAUGCUGAUCAGAUUCGUUGAGCAUGGAGCCACGACGGGAACUCCAUGGUGUCCUGUUUAAGAUUAGAUGUGUUAGUGACUGUGAAGGGCAUAGAACAAAACCUGUAUCUGAUGCAUUGGGAAGACCAGGUGCUUGUAAAACAAAGACACAUAAAAUGUAGAUUUGAAACUUUUCUCAAAACGUUAUUGUCAGUAAAUAAUUGGCCUUUAACCUCAGGACAGAGUGAGCCAUGUUGCCACACACGGACAGCAGUGAGCCCACAUGCUCACCGGGUGAUUAAUGUCACCUUUGUAAACAUAACAUGACCUUAUCUGCUCUUUCUUAUCAUCCCAACAAUUUGGGAAGAUAACUAGGAAUAAUAAUUAUAGUAGCAAAUAUACAGCCAUUUUUAAAAAUUCCAUUUUAUGGUUAUUUAGAACUUUAUGGCAAAGUAGUAACAAGGCCAAAACUUAUUUAUUUUUUAUUCCUACAAACAAACCCCAUUUUAAGUUGUGAACUGGAACUUCUUUUUUAUGUUCAAUACAUUACUGAACUUGAUGGUAUCAGAAGUUUAUGGCUUUUAAAUCUAGAAUAUAUUAUGAAUUUGAUAAAGGGCACUUUUUCUCUUAUUAGAAAUCUGAAAAUCCUUCCAUUUUCCAAACACGAACUCAUGAAAAUAAAAAAUUCUGGCAGUGGUCAGUCUCACUACACCGCCCUAGUCCUAGUGACCUCAGCACUAGACUUUUAAACUUCUAAGUAAAUGCUAAGGUCCACAUUUAGUCAAGUUUUUAACUAAAACAAGUUAAAAUAGAAGAGAGAGAACCUUUCUUGCCAGUUCUAUUCAGUAGCAUGUUAAUCAGAUUGCAGUAAUAAGUAUCAAACAAUGCAUGCAAUUAGCAGUGGUUAAUUUGAAACUACUUCAUGUCAGUUUCUUUCAGAGCAAUACGUUAGUAGAGUAAUUAUUUAUUACCCUGAGGACAUGAUCAAUGAUAUCCCUCCCUAACAACGGCUGCAAAGGAGUAGCAUUUUCAUCUGCAUAAAAAGGAAGCUAUAGAAACUCAUAUAUUUUCGGCUAAGUAAAAGGAGAAAACUGUUUCUAAGCUAUUUCCAACUAUUUCAUUAAUAAUGAUAAACAAACCAUUUGUUACACUUCACUAUUUUUAUGGUAACAUAAUGUCGAGGGGGGAAAAAAAACAGCAUUAGUGAUUUAAAUCUGCAAAGCCUACCUUUAUUCAGAAAGGGAAAAAUGACCCAUUUCUAAAUGUCAUUAUAGUCGUGAAUGUGUAUGCGCUAGGCCCUUCCACACACAAUAAUUCACUAGUCCCUUAGCCAGAGCUUGGGGAAGGAAUUUAUGGGACGCCCUGAGUGGUAACACAUGGUCUACACAGCUGAGCCAUGGCUGUCCAAAGUCAAGGAAGAGAUGCCAGGUUAGCCAGGUGGCUGCAAUUAGAUGGUGCAUUUAAAUAAUUGGGAAGGUUGCAUUAGGGGCUACCAUCUCAGCUUUCGGAGUUCACUAUAGAUUGGAUAAGAAAUUCUUUGUCUUCAUAUCCGAUUAAUGUACCUUAUUGUAUAAAAUACCCAUUAUUCUGAGAAGGACCAGAAAAAACUCAACUUUUGGAAGAACAUAGUAAGUCUACACCAUGGAGGGAGGGAAAUACAGAAUGGAGUAGGCUGGAAAGAACAACACCAGAAGUUGGAACAAGCAGAAUUGGUGAGAACAACCCACAGGCCUGAGAUGGGGCUGCCAUGUUACAUAAUUCCAGGAGCCCCUGUUCACGAGGAGAAUGGCACUCCCAGGAGUUGGGCAGCUGGCAGCCAGCACAGCCACACGUGGAAACCCAGCCUGAGAGGAUGAUCAGGGGAGAGGAGCCCUAUAUGGAGUAGGUACACACCUUUAUCAAGGCCUCCGAGGCAGAUACCAAUGUCAAGAUCCAGUUCAGGAGGACCAAAAAGGGAGAUGGAAAGGUUUUGGAAUUUAGGUGAGGCAAGGAUCUAAAAAAGGUAUUCAGUCGACCUCAGAAGUUGGCCAUUCAGGGGAGACCUCAUAGCUUCAAGAGGGUCAAAGAUAAAACUAAACUAAGAAGUUACCAAUUCUGCACUGUAUACCUAGAAAGCCAGCACGGUAUAUAAUGUGUAAAAGAAAAGAGCCCAACCCUUUCAAAAGUAUAAAGUGGAAAUAGUAGUUUUUCCUGGAAUAAAACUGUUUUAAUUUUAAGGGCGUUGGAAGUUUUGCAGAGAAUCGUGUGGGUGGUGAACGCCUGUGUGGUGACCCCCCAGCAGCUCCCUUCUUCGGGAACAGCAUUCCCUUUCCGAGAACUGUUCUUCCACUCUGAAUUUUAAUUCUGCUGGAUAUGGUUCCACUCAUGUAAGACUCGGGCUACCCGACCAUAUUUUAUUAGUCUGAGUGUGGGAGCCUUACCUGCCUGGUAAGCCAGUUUAAGUUCUUUUGCGUAAUGUUUUGCAUUCGAAUAGCAAAGACCGCAGCAUCUGGUGUGGGACCCAGGAAAUGUGAAGCUAAGAACCGUCAGCAGCCGUGGUCUCCACCGUAUGGAGGACGCUGGUCCGAGGUAGGUCACAAAAGAACUUGCACACAAAGAGGACAGAGAGGCUCUGCUGGCAUUCGGGUCUCUGCUUUUAUUGUCCCUGAGACCAGACCCAGCUGAAUCCUUUCCCUUCCUAAAGUGUAUUUAGUCAACUCUUCAUCUCCUUAUACCCACCGGUUUUCUUCCAAUUCCCUUCUUGCCUUAGAACUAGGUCUCCAACUGAAGCAGAAUAUAAUGUCCUUGGCUUAGCACCAAAAGAAAAAGGAAAAGGAGAAAAGGAAGGAAGGAAAAAAGGCAACACAUUGAACAUAAAAUCUGCUUGAGGUUACAGAUUGUACUGCCUUACAGGUGAGUUCUUCACUGUCUUCUAAUUGCUUCAGGUUUACAUUCACUGUAUUUCACUAAAUGCUUUCUGACGCUCUGAGUAAAGGGAAUAUACAUUGUAUAUACCAGCAUCACUAACAGAAUGUACUACGGGUCCAGGCUGAAAACAGUAACCCAAGGAGUACUGACUGAUUCACUUAUCAAAUAAUUUGCUUUUCGACCAUUCACUUCUAACUUUUUCAGGACCGUGGGUUACUACUUAGUGCACUAAAAGUAAUGACUUCCUAAUAGUGUGCCAAUGAUACACAAGAUUUAAGGUACCUCUGGGGGGCCAUCACCAGUUUUUCCAUUAGAUUGGGCACAAUAUUGGUAUCAUUCCGUGUGCUACUAAUGUGGCAAGAAUGAGUUCACUUCAAGAAAACAUGAAGCAUAAAGUGGGAUUUUUAGACAUAGUCUUAGUUUAUCCACCAACCAAUCAACUUAGUAAAACCCAGAGUUACGGUCAAAUCCCAGACAUCUAAGCAGAAAAGUCCUGAGAGUCAAGUUGUUGAGAUAUUUCAGACGUCUUGUCUAGUAAAUGGGCUAAGUACAGUUGGCAGCAAUAGAGAAACGUUUCCUCUUUGAUUUUAUUAACUGAUUGAUAUGAAUUAAUGCAUUAGGAUAUCUGAUUGUGUCAUAAAAUGUGUAUAUGAGCCUCAUGAUUCAAUUUAAUGUACCUAUUACUGGUUGAUGUGCCAUUAUAUUAAGCUAAAUUAAAAUAAUUUUAUGGAAAAAUUACAAUUAAAGACUCAAAAUUGAUUGCAUUCAUAACUUAAAAAAAGACAUUCUGUUCCAUUAAUAUUUUGAAUAAUUGUAAUAAUAUAUCAGAAAACAAUGCAGGAAACUCAGGAGGUAGACAAAGUAAAGUAAAAAUAAAUAGAUAAAAGAGUCAAAAGUAAGGCCUACUUUCUAAGUUAAAUUCAUUAUUUUAUCUCGAGCCAGAGUUUUUAAGUAUGGAGAGAAUAAGAAAAGUCACAAGAGUUAACAGCUUAUAUCAGCAAGUAAGUUUUAGAUCACACUAUCACAAAAGAGAUUAAUUUUCUUUCUUUCAUCUUCCAAAUUACAAAAUAAAUUAUUUCCAAAUACAGCAUUUUAAUUUUUAAUGAUGUUUUUGUAGUUAAUAAGGUGACACUCUGCCCAGACCAUGUCAGUUCUCCUAACGCAAAUGUGUCUGCUGAAGGACAGUGAACCAUCCCUGUUCAGCCAAGACUGAGCGGUUUCCAGGGGAUGGGACAAUCCCUCUGGUUAACUGGGAUGGCUGGGCAUCUUCUACAUACAAAUUAUUUGGCUUUAAUGUAAACUUAAGCAUCCAGAAGUUGACUUGGAAAAUGCUGUGAUUUACUUCUGAAGAUGUAAGCAUGCUUCUCGCCCAUUAUAAGUAGAUGCUGAUUCAAUAGGGGACUAUAGCACCAGCGUAUUUGAGUUUUUCUAAUAAUUCUCGAUUCUCUUACUUCGAUUCUCUUACUUCUUACUUCUCUUACUUCGAAAGGACAGAGAAGGAUUUCUGAUGAGAAAAUGUUCUACCCUUCGUAUUGGGAGUGUGGUCCAAGGACCAAGCACAUCAGGACCACUUGGGAGCUUGUUAGAAAUUCACACUCCAGACCCAUUCGGUCAGAAUCCACAACAAUAACAAAUUCACAGGUGCUUCAUAAGGACACUAGAGCUUAAAAAGCCCUGCUGUGAACUCUUCGGCAAGAAUUUGCUAAAAGGACUCCAAUUUUUCUCUCCUGUCAAUUAUUAUCUGUUGUCAGCUUUCUUCGGAAUCCCUGUCUGUUCUCUACAAGGCUCAUUAGCAGCCUCACUAGCUCAGGUGCAAUGAAUUUGGGAUUUGUAAUCAACUGACCCGGGCUGUACUAAUAAUUCUGCCCUGCAACCUCUGUUCUGCAUUUGAAGGAGAGUCUCUGAGAAGAGGACAUACUUAACCAAUUUACGAAAGGAAACUCUUUAACAUUUAACAAGUUAAUUUUCACAAAGUAAUGGAUGCUAUGUGUACAUUAGAGUGGCCUAACUUGUAGGAUAUUUGUUGGCAGAUUUGUUGUUUGCAGGCAAUUCAAGUAAGUGAAAGAACGCUGCAUGGGAUAAGAAAAUAUUCUCAUAGCCUUCCUUCAGCCUGAUUUUGUUCAGUUUUUUGUUUUUCGCUUUUUAGGGCUACAUGUGCACCAUAUGGAGGUUCCCAGGCUCGGGGUUGAAUCAGAGCUGCAGCUGCCAGCCUACACCACAGCCACAGCAACGCCAGAUGGGAGCCAUGUCUGCAACCUAUACCAUAGCUCACCACAACGCCAGAUCCUUAACCACUGAGUGAGGCCAGGGGAUCAAACCCUCAUCCUCAUGGAUACUAGUCUGGUGUGUUACCACUGAGCCAGGACAGGUACUCCCUUAACCAGCCAUGGUGUUUUAGGUCUCCUUGCUUUGCCAUUUUAUUCUGCUUGGAGCCUCUCCCUACCAUCCUUAACCCCCAAGACUGUUGUUUGAUUCAUCCUCAUUCUUCAAAUGUCACUUAAGUAUUAUGCCCUGCUCCUUUAAAAUCUUCUCAUCUCAGUUUAUGUUGCUUUGCUGUCCAUCUACUAGAAUAUUAAUAAGGGGAUCUCCAAGUUGUUAUUCAAUUGAUUGCUGAUUGUUCAUUUUUAUAUCUUUAGGGAAUUUCACUUUAAAAGUCACUUUAAUGAGACACGGCAUAUGACCUACUAUGCGAGCUUUGAAAGAAGGGAGCCAUCGAAAGUCAAUAAAGGCUAGAGGGCCUUACCUACCUCUGUAGGAAGUGAGUAGGAAAGGGAGAGACACAUUUUGACUCCAUUCAUACCACAUUGGUCUGUUCCUUUGUUUCUGGGUGAUGGAAAAAUUAAAUUGGGAAUUUUAACUCCAAAGUAUCCAAAAGGGAUAGGUCACUAGCCAUCAUUAUGAAUCUGCAGACAGUAGUUCUACAAGACUCAUCUAUCCACAAUGUGAAGCCAGAUUCGGGAGGAAUUAAGUUCUCACACACCUCUGAUACGUUGUCUUAUACUAAAAGGCUAGUAUUACAGCAGCUACAUUAAUUAUCAACCAUUCCAAAGCUUAAGAAUUACUCUAUUGUCAUUUUGACUGGGGGAGGGAGUAUGUAAGGGGUUCUGUCAUUUCUAGCAACCAGGAAAGACCAAGGUGACUUUGGUGAGGAAGCUGCCUUGUGAUACUAUCACUGCCAGCAAUUAGCCACAGUUAGUAAGCUUCUAUUAAUCAAAUCCACAUCUGGAAAGACUUUCACUAAUUCUGUGAGAUGAACAGUGUUGUUUGCAAAAUUUAAAGGACUAAAGGUAACACUGCAUAACUUUAAAAGCCAACACAAAGGAAACAGAAAAAAACCUCAUCAUUAAUGCUUAGAUAAUCUUAUUUAAUCAAAACUAUUCUCUAUAAAAUUAUAUAUCACUUAUAUAUACACACAAAAGAAUGAUUAAAACUAUUCUUUUUGACAAAACUGGAAGCUCCAAGAUAAAAAACUUUAAGCUAUUUUAUAUCUGUUUCUCUCACAUGCUGAUUAACAAGAUGCUAUAGUAAAUGCCCGAGCACACUGUAAAGAAAUAAGCAAAGAAAUGGGAAUAAAUAUCCCUAAUAGGAACAAA
This 6649-nucleotide long non-coding RNA is filed under the name Sus scrofa (pig). RNAcentral describes it as "lncRNA (ENSSSCG00000053161.1)". The record is from RNAcentral. Lineage: Eukaryota; Metazoa; Chordata; Mammalia; Artiodactyla; Suidae.